AGGAGCACCUUGAGAGUUUUGAAACCCGUCAGUAUCUUCAUUGCCCCCGUGACAUUGGUGAGUCUGUUACGAGAAAGUGAGAGGAAGGUCAAGUUUUUCAAUUGAAGAAUCUCAGGUUGGAUUUGGCCCUCGAAAUCAUUUGUAGCCAGUCGAAGUGCUUUGAGGGACUUGCAUGAGUAGAGGCUUAUUGGCAAGGUACCAGUGAGAUUAUUACUUAUACAAUCUAGUUUACUAAGAUGAGUAAGUUUAGAGAAAUUGAGGGCAGAGAUAUUCCCACUAAAACGGUUGAAUCCCAGAUUUAUUUCAACAAGGUUUGUGCAAUUCAUCAGAGAUGAGGGCAGAUGACCUUCGAGAUUGUUGUAUUGAAGGCGCAUGAGCUUUAAUUUGGAGAGCUUCCCAACAUUCUUACUGAUGGGUCCCACAAGCCCAUUGGUAGAUAAUGAAAUUUCUUGAAGUGCCUGAGCAUUGUAGAUAUCAGUAGGGAGGGAUCCUGAGAGAGUAUUGUCGCCAGCACGAAAUACCUCCAACUCGGAACAGUUUCCAAGUCCGGGAGGAAUUGGGCCACUGAAAUUAUUGUGGGAGAAAUCCAAGACUCUAAGCGAGGAUGAACGAAGACAGGUAGAGGAAGGUAUUUGGCCUGUAAAGUGAUUAUUGCUGACAUUCAAACUGCUCAAAUUCCAGGCAUGCUGGAGGAAUGAAGAUGGAAUUGUUCCGUUGAAUUGAUUGCUUGAAAAAUCAACUAUUUGGAUGUAACUUGAUGAUAAAGACAUUGGUAUUUCUCCGGAGAAAAGGUUAUAGCUCAAAUCAAGAAUCUCAAGGCGACUCAAGGACAAGAACAUCCCGGCUUCAAGAGAGCCGGAAAGCAGAUUGUGGGAGAGAUUGAGGUGCGAAAGAAGCUUAAGGUUUCCAAGUGAUGAAGGAAAAGUACCUCCUGUGAGGCCCUUGGAUGGCAACCGCAAUUGGAUGAUCCAACCGUUCUGAUUACAUGUGAUGCCUUCCCACUGGCAACAAUCAACUGAAGCAGUCCAGUUCAAUGCCGGGGAAGACAGAGAGCUCGCAAAGGACUUGAGGGCGCUGCGUUCGGUUAGAUCACAUGCAUGUAUUGUGAAUAAAAUGGAAGAAAACAAGAGGAUGAGAAGGAAGCCAUGAGAGAAUGGAUGAUCCAUCUCAGGUUCAGAUUACUCACAGGUUUUCUUCUGCACUCGUAGAUAGGUAUGCAUAUAUGUCUGAAUCUGCAGAGUAUAUAUACACGUCUUCCGCUUGACUUCAAAGUCAUGACAAGAAAUUCCAUGUUGGUAAGACUCAUGACUUCAAAGUCGUUGAAAGAUUCUUUUAUCUCUUAGUCUUUGGAUUUAAAGGAAACAAAAAAAUUAGAAGGGACGGCUCUGCUUUUCUUUGAGGCUCUGUCUCUGUUUGUUUCUGCAUGACAAGAAAUUCCAUGUUAGUAAUAGUCAUGACAGCGAAGUGAAUAUAACAAGUGAUGCAUUAAUAAAGAAGAAUUGGUACAUUAUAAAUAAAUUAGGGUACAUAUAAAAGAUUAAAAAAUUAUGAGUACAAAUGAAAUUUUAAAAAAAUAUAGACACUAAAAGAAAUUAAUACAUGGGUACAAAAUAAAACUAAAAAGAAAAUACUACAAAUUUAAAAAAAAUGUUGCAAAUUAAAAGUGGGUACAAAUUAAAAAUAUAAAUAUAUGAUACAAAGUUUAGGCAUAAAACAUAAAUAUACCAUAUGUAAUUUUUCUAUCAUUAAUUAAAUAAACAAUGUCACGUGACAGUAUACACAUGGGUACAAACACAAAUAAAACUUUAAAAAAUAUGGACACAAAAAGAAACUAAUAUAUGGGUACAAAUUAAAAAUGAAAAAAAAAUUGGUACAAACUAAAAAUAAAAAUAUAUGAUAAAAAUUUAGCCAUAAAUAUAAAUAUACUAAUUGUAACAUUUUUAACACUAAAGGAAUAUAUUUAAAAAUAAAAAUAUUUUAUUAUUCAAAUAAUUAAUGAUAUUAUUAAUACUCUAGGACCUUGAUCAAAAAUUAAAAAUGAAUAAGAUUUUAAUUAAUGAAGUGAACCUAAUUUCUUUUAUAUUAUAUUAUAUAUUAUUUUAGUAGAUUUUGGGAAUUGAGGCAACGACUUCAAAGUCGUUGAAAGAUUCUGUAAUCUCUUAGUCUUUGGUUUGACUUUAGGCUGUAGCUUUCUUAGAUUUAAAGGAAACACCAAAGUUAGAAAGGACGACUGCUUUUCUUUGAGGCUCUGUCACUGUUUGUUUCUGCAUAAAUCAGCGAGCAAAAAUUCAUCAAAUUUGAUGUCGAUUAAAAUUUCAGGUUUUUGUUUUAGGUGAAGAGGAGCAAGAUUCAAACUUUUUCACCGAGUGGAGGUAAGUACCCUACCACUUGAUUUGCCCCACAAUUGUUUAUUUUUGUUUUUUGAUUUUUUGGGAAAAAGGAAUAUUAUGAUGUGAAAUAACCCUAAAUUAUGGAGACUUCUAGGUGAAAGACUGAUAAAUUUAUUGAAACGGGUUGAAGUUUCACCAUACAACUAAUUGACAAUAUGAGGAGUAACCUAACCUACUUAAUAUAAGAUUCAGUCUCAAUACUUACAAUUUUCACAUACAUCUUCCAUGUACUUUGUAUUAUUACUUGCACUAAUUUGAAAGCGGGACCCGUGAAGUAUCUGGUCAACGGCAGUGCAUUGAGGUCUUGGACGAAGACUCCGAUAGUGAUGCUAGGAUUCUGUCGGAUAGAUGAUUUCCGAGAGGUCUGAAUCGUCUCUCCAAGUUGGUGAGGCUGGAAUCUGGUAUGGAAUGAUGCCAAAGAAGUUGUCGUCGCUAAGAUCCAUUACAUAUGUAGAAGAUAAAUAAGUGUAGAAAAUGUAGAUAGACUUCAAAGCAUCAGUUGCACAACGGGGUCCAUACAAGGUUUUUGGAUUAUUCCUUUCCGACUUUGAUGACUUUAGAGACAGGGCAUCAAAGUUAUAGACAGUUCAUCAGCUUACUACUGAUCAAACAAAAUACUGAUCGCAUGUGCAAACCAAUAGUUGGGCCAAUCUGCAACUUUAGCGUUUUAAAUUCAUUCUUUCAAUUCGGGUAAAGACAAUCUAGUGCCCCAACUGAGGUUUUUAACUUUUUGAUGCAGGGCAUGCUUCAAUUGAGGUUUUAGAGACUGUUUAUUAGCUCACUACUAAUCGAACAUUGACAUUGACCACAUGUGCAAACCAAUAUAUAGUUGGGUUAACUUGAGACUUUAGCGUUUUAACAAAUUUAUUGUCCCAAUUAAGGAAGAGACAAUCUAGUGAGUCACUACUAAUGAACCGAGGUUUUCUAGGUUUUUGAUGUGAGACAUGGUUGGUUGAGGUUGAAAAUAAAAAUGUAAAUACUUGCAAAAAUCAAAUAUAACAAUUAAAACUCCCAUACUAUUGAAUCAUGCGUAGCAUAAAAGCCACACCGGUAAGACAUGUUUCAACUCGGGUUUUCAAAUCUUGCACUAAGAGAUAGUGAGCCCUGUUUUUCAAUUCAUAUUAAUUCACACGUCCCUUCUAUCGUUGUAGUUUUCACUAAAAAAGUAGGUUUAAAAGGUAGGUGGGUUUAAAUAUUUGUCCACAAUAUUUGAAAUUUGAAGUCUUUGCUUUCAUGUACACAAUAUAUUGACUGAAAAAUCAGUAGUAGUGAGUGAAAAUAGUUCACAUUAGAUGGCUUACAUACUUUUUUUUGGUAAAAAAGAAGGUUUUACAUACUUUGACAAUGAGUACCACAAUACUUGUAAUCACUAGACAGGUUUUUAGAUGCAAUCAAGUUAAGGAAAUUCGUGCAUAACGUAAAUAGGAGCCACUCAAUGAUAAUUUCUUGCAGUUUUCACUUUUAUUAAAAAAUGAAACUUAAUAUAGAUUUGGUAACUGUUUUUAGUUUUCAAAAAAUGAAAAUUGACAGUUAAUUUUUUGAGUUUUCAAAAUGGGAGGUGCAUAUUGUCACUUAGUAUUACGGUUUAAUGGUAUUUCUUUUCAUUUGUAAGUGAAACGUUUUAGAUUCAAUUCUCGCCAAAGGAGAAUUUGAAUCACAGUAUUACUACCACUAAACCGUAUUACUAAGUGACUAUUUCUAGCUAUUAGAUUGAAUAAACCAAACAGAAUCCACAACCAUAGUUAAACAUGAGUAUGUAAAUAGCUAAAUUGUGUGCAAUUGUCAAUUUCCUUCAAAAUUUGGCUUUUUUUUACUUGGUUUUUUUAAUUUAACUUUUUUGAAAAUUGAAAUGAUUAUCAAACAAGUAAGAAAAAAGUUUUCCAAAUUAAGAAGAGAAAUUAGAAAAUUUAACUGUCAGAUGACAACAACCAUUUCAACUGGAUUAGUCGAUACAGAUUAGAAUAAUUGUAAAAUCAUAUCAACAACUAUUUCAUUCAAAAUUCGUAACUGUGACUUUUGAUUUUUCAAUGAAUUUAUUUACCUAAACAAAAAGCAAUUACUGUUAAAUGCAGUAGUACUAGUACUUAAAUGGCCUACCAUGUUGAUUUGUUUCACAAUUAUAUGUCAGUCUUUUUCUUGACUUUAAAAGCCAAGCCACAAUAAUUAACUAGAAGAAAGCUUCACGCAAGAAUAUUGAGGCAUUAUCUUCAGGACUGUAGAGUCACACAUAUUGCUUCUUUUCUAUGUUGAUAUUUUCCUGAAUUCAAAGGUUUAUUAAAGUCUUAGAAUCUUGAUCGAGGUUAAAUUCAAAGGUUUAUUAAAGUCUUGAAUCAUGAUCGAGGUUUUAUACACUUUUGGAACGCAUGUUGAGAGUAUGAAUUUUACAUCGAGAAAAGAAGAGAUUUUGUAUGUGUUUAUAAGUAAUUAGACUACUCAUUAUAUUACCAAUUGGUUUUUAUAGUGAAACCUCAACUUUUUUUCAUAGCAUUCAGACAAGUUGUCUCUCGUGUGAAGCCCAACAACCGCAUGUACUCCGCAUCACCUGAUUUGUGCUAUUCACGUGUUAGACUUGAUAAUUCGCCACAUGUAGAAGAAGCUGAGAGUAUGAAUCCCACAUCGAGAAAAGAAUAGACUUUGCAUGUACUUAUAAGUAAUUAAACUAUUACCAAUUUAUUAUAGAACCUCAACUUUCUCCGAUGCAUGUCAUGUUAAUAAAUCACAAUACGACUAUUGGAAAAGAUACAAAAUCUCUGAAAAAUCUCCCAUGGAUAGGAAGGAGCUAUACCACAGGAUGUUCUGUUUCUUCGCCCUAAAGAAGUACGUACUCAAGUAGAGAUUUUGUACACUGUCUAGGAAUUGGAACUGCGUAAAUCUGCGGAUCUUAAACAUGAAAGAGCCAUAAACUCCGAAAAAUCCUGUGGUGAACCCAGGUGCGAAAGUGAAAUGAAACCAUGGAAUUGGAUUCCCAUUGUCCAAAUCUUGGCUGUUCUUAUAUCUGCACCAAGGCCAUCGCCAGUGCACCGCAAAGUUUCAAAUUCACCUCGAAGGCGGACGAAUUGAACCGCAAAGUACUGUAUGAUACAUUAAAAAUGACAAGAAAUUAAGGGUCUGUUUGGUAUCAUUUUUGAAAUUUUUUAUAAUUUCUCAAAACAUUUUUAAGAAUUUUUCUUGAAAAUAAUUUUCUUUAAGAUUCAAAAACUUGUUUGGUAUACGAUUUAAAAAUUUUAAAUCUUACAACUUAAAUUAGACAAAAAGAUCCAAAAGAGAGAAUCAAGAGAUAAAGAGGAGAGAAGAGGAAAGAAAGUAAGAGAUGAUUGGAGGAAAGAGAAAAAAGUGAGAGGAUCAGAGGAGAUAAGAAAGAGGACCAAGAAAAUGAAAAAAACGGAUUGAAUAAGAGACGAAAAAAGGAUUAAAAAAAAAAGAGAAUAGGGGAAGAGAGAAAGAAGAAAAGAGAGAGAUAGAUUUGGAGUGAGAGAGGAGGGGGAGAGAAAAGAAAUGAGUGAAUUUAAGUUUAAAAACUUUUUUAUCUUUGUAAAGAAUCAACUAUAUUUUUGAGUUAGUUUUGAAUUCAGUUUUUGAAAAUAGUCAUAUCAAACAAGUUUUUAAGGCCUAAAAUUUGAAAAUUACUUUUGAAUUUAAAAAAUUGGAUUCAAGUAGAGUACCAAACAAAAUCUAAGAACCGCCAAUGAUGCUGGGGUUUCUCCGGACAGAUGAUAUAUGGAGAGGACCAGUACUGUCUCCAAGUUUUGAGGCCAGAUAUAUAUUUGGUCUGGAAUGUAAUAGCAUUAAAUUAAUCCAACGCGUGGAGAAGCUGCAGUGGGCCAAUCUCAAUAAAUAUUUUGCCGGUAAAUCUAUUGUUCUGAAAGAAUAGCACUUCUGCAAGUUCUUCGCAAUAUAGUUUUGAUGUAAAGAAUUUGUACUAACAAUGAUGAUCAUGGGUAGUUCAAGACAUGUGGUCUGUUGAGCUUAAGUGAUUCCAGAUACCAACACUGGCAGCCUGCAAAGUUCCUUUAGAAAUCCUCCUGAAAUUCGGUCAAGAAGGGUCCCCAACCAACUCGGAAAUUGAGACUGAAAGAGGAUUUUACAAAUUCUAAUUGCUGAAAUAAUCAAAAUCACAUAACCACGACAUAUAUCAAUCAGAUAUGAUGACAUUAUGGAUCAAAUAUUUAAGAUAUAUUGAAAAAAUUCCGAAAAGUGAUCAUUAUGACAAUUGAGAUUUUGUAUUUUCAUCGUUUUUGUCAAUUUUCCUAGAAGUAAAGCUAUGGACAAAGAAGCAUGAGAAAGAUGAAAUUAUAUUACGCACAAUUUUGUCGGGCAAUGUUCGUCGCACAAACAUCAUCACUACAGAGUUUACUGAUGAAUAGUACAAAGUCGUCGAGCAAAUUGUGUUUACAUGAUGAAAUAAUUUCGUCGAGGAAAGGACGUUGACCUUUGCCCGACGAACCGUAAACCCAAAAUUAUAAAAUAUACGUACCUUUGCACAACGAACAAUUCAAUGAAACUUGUAUUAUUCGUUGCACAAUGGUUGCUAUAUUUACGCGCCAAGUUUUUUCCUUGGUGCAAAAACUUUACCCGAUGGAUGGAACUUUGCCCGUCGAACACUGUUCGUCAAGCAAAAGCCUCUAAAUAACCAAAACGUUACUGUUUUUGGCAACCGAAUAUAUGAAUUCCAACGAUUAAAGUUUAUUUACAAAAUUCCUUUCAUCGGGAAAUGGUAAUUUCUAGCUGUGAAAGUGAGAGGGGCUUUAUGCCAUCAAAUUAUUAUAGGCAAAACUAUUAACAAACAAUAAUCGUAUUUCUUAAUUUGCCAUCGCGGGGAACUUAUCUUUAACAUUGCUCAGAAAUAGGAAAUAUGCAUCUCUCCAAGACCUAAUAAACACUAAAGAAUCAGACUCCCCAAAAUCCGAAAAUAAAACCAACAAUCACGGAAAAAUGAAACCAGUCUGCACAUCUUUAGUGUCAUUACUUGUAUACAUCUGUUGGCAUUUGUUUGGAAGUGGGGCACCACAAAGUCCUUGGUUCCCCUCGAAUGCAGUGGCAUUCAAACCUUCGAUUUGAGUGCCGGAUGGUAUUAUUCCUUUGUUGUAAGCAACCGUAAAUGAAGACAAGAAGUGGAGACUUGAUAUUGAUGCUGGGAUUUCUCCUGACAGAUUUAGUGAUGGUUUGAAUUCUUGUGAGCGGUGUUUGAGCUUUGAAGUCUUUGCUUUCCACUUAAACAGAAAAGAAACAAACCUGCAGAACAUGGGUUGGCAACGUAUUACAAGGUUUACAUUGACUUUGGGUGCGUGCUUUCGGAAAAGUGAUGUGGGCAUAUUUUCAUACAUUAUUAUCGUAUUUUCUUUUUUGGAAUUUGUGUAAAUACAUUAAAUUUAAUUGUUUUAAUAUAUAGACUUCAAUAUCGGAGUUGUGAGAAAAGGAUGAAGAUCGGAUCAUUUUUGUGGGGAUUUUAUGGAUUCUCAAAUCUUAAUCAUUUAUCGUACAUCGUACGGUCAGUUUACUAUUUGUGUUUAAUUUAGAUAAAAAAAUUCAAAUGAUUAUGAUCAUACAAUAUACGAUGAAUGACUAAGAUGCGAGGAUCCCUAGGAUCCCCACCAUUGGAUCCAGAUGGGAUCCAAAUCCGUGCGAAAAAGAAGUGGAAAAUGAUGAUUUCAGGUGUCUAAAGUAAUUCAGCUGAGCAUGAGGCUAAUUAAUUGUGCCAAGACAUAUGUAUUACAAUAUGAAGAUGAGACCACAAAGAUUUUUUUUUUUCAUCAACGACUACAAAGGUUUUGAAUAUACAUGGAAAUGCUAUUCAAUGGAUUUAAGAAGAGACAUGAUUAUUUGUUCUUAUUAUUUCCGUUUAUUUUCUUUUUAUUUAACAAAGACUUAAAGUCCAAUAGUUAGAAUUUUAGUGGGUUUUUCAUUAGAAUUUAGUAGGAUUUAUUUUUAUUGCCGUGGGUUAUAAAAAGAGAUAUUCUUUGUGGUAACGGGAUUCAACCAAAUCAAAAUUAUCACAUUGGAGAAGGUUGCGGCAAGGAGGAAGAAAGCUAGAUUUUUUUUUAUAUAUCUUUUCUAGGGCUUCGAUAUAGUUUGAUCAUGAAUACUUAAUUACCUUGUGUCAUUGUUUUAUCAAAUUUUUAUUUCAUAUUGAAUAUCUUUCGCUAUUCGUAAUGCGCUCAAUUUUUAUUUGAGAAAAUUGUAGUAAACGUCACUCAACUUUAAUCCAAUUGGAGUAACGGUCCUUGAACUAAAAAUCCAUGACCAUUGAUCCCUUAACUCCUUAAAACGUGCCCCUAUGAUUGAUGGUCGAUACUAUACUAUAUAUUUUACCCUAAUCUUAGUAAUAAUUUAUUGGUUAUUAUGUGAAUUUUCUUACUUUGAAUUAUAUUCUAAUGUAGGACAUUCGACUUCCGUGGUGAUGAAAUGAAGGGCCAGCGCACAGCUUUCCCAGAUUGACGUUUCUAGACGUUUUGGGUAUUUUGGAGGUUAAGAUGACAUAUUUUGAAGAAGAUUUCUUCUGAGGAUUUGUAGGGGACGUCUCCACCUUUCAAAAGAGACCUUUUGGGACUAAAUCGGAGUUGAUUUGGUCAGUCAAAAGACUAAUUUUUCUGAGAAAUCCGAAUUUUAGUUCAAAUAGGAAACCUUUAAUUUCUGUUUUAUUAUUUUUAUUAUGUUUCCUAGUUUUAUUUUAAGACCUUUUAGGGUUUUAUUGUGUAGUAGUAUAAAUAAGGCUUUUUAGCCAUUAGGGUUUUUUAGAAUGCAAGAAGGAGAGGGGGAGAAGGCAUGCAUUAUUUUGGAGAACUUCAGACUUUUUACCUGCAAGGUGUUUUCAAUCCUUUUUCUAGUUAAUAUAUUUUAUUUUGUUUUAUGAUUGUUCAUAACUAAGUUCUUUUGCUAGGAUGAAGUCAUGAGCCUUAGCAUGAAUAUGUAAUUUUAUUAAUUUGCUUAUGAAUGAAUGCAUGCUUGCUUUGAAUUAUUAAUCAAUGCGAUUAAAACUAUCUAAUUGUCUUAGUGAUUCGUGACCAUUAGGGUUUUUAGACAAGUAAUUUGAUGCAAUUUUUGUUGGAACAUCACCCUGAAAUUGAGAAGGGCUUCUUGUGAUUAGUAAUUUUAAGUUCACUUAAGGCGAACAUCACACUCUUAAGGGUUGCAUGGUUUUUCAAAGGGUUUUCACAAAGCCUAAUAAGUCUUACAUGUUUAUAUUUGAUCUGAACAUCACAAACGGGCUGCAUGUUAGAUAUACGUUUUCACUUGAACAUCAUGAGGAAAAUAUGCAUUAUGAAAACCUUACCUUCAAAGCAUGUGUGUUGAAAUUCAUAAGUAAUUGGUAAAUUUGCGUAGGAUUGUUAAGGGGACGGUAGAACCCUAGGCUUUUACAAAUUGAUUUUCUUUUAAAUUGUUCUCUAGUUAAUUUCUUUAAUUGUUUUAUUUUAAAAUUCGUUUUUAUUAUAUUAAAUUCUAAAAUCAACAUUUUCCAACCUUUGUUUUAAAUAAUUAGCUAAGAAUUAGUUUAAAUACAAAUUAUUCAUUCAAUCCCUGUGGAAAACGACAUUGCUUGAGCCGCUAUAGUACGACAACCUUGCACUCUUGCAAGUAUUUUAAGUGUUUUUAUCUCUACUUUUGUAGGUGGUAAAAAUCCCUAUCAAUGAUCAUUUUCUUCAAUUCCUUUAGAACUCUCGUCAAAAUGAGUCACGUGCCACGCACAUGAGGCCGAAUCGAGGGGCAAAUAUGGUACACAAAAUGAGAAAAUUCUAACAAUGAUCCCUCAACUUUAACCCAACUGGAAAAAUGGUCUCUCAAUUUUAAUACAAGUUAUUGUUGUUUUGAUCACCAUCUAAGUUUUAGUUAAGUUGUUUUGAUGCAAGUUAGAGUAGAUGUCAUACUUAACUUGGGUUUAGCUUCUUGCAAUUGAUACCAUAAACACAGAUAUGCCAACUUGGGUUUAGCUUCUUGCAAUUGAUACCAUAAACACAGAUAUGCCAUGCAAUUAGGGUUUAUGUGAUUUUCAAGCACUUUCCAUAGAGAUUAAUGAGUUCUUACUUGUUUAAAUUCAUCUAGAUGCCAUAGAGGGUUAACAUAUUAAGAUACUUUUGAUGCAACCAAAUGCCAUGACUGUUGAUUAUUGGGAAACUACUUGAGCAUAACAUAUUAAGGGAAUUAAGUAGAAUUGGUUAUGGUGAAUUUGAAUGCCCUCUGUUGAUGCACAAAACCGGAGCGGUUUUGGAACAACGUAAAUCCGACCGUGAAUCUGCACAAACGCUCAAGAACACGAAGAACACAAAGAACACAAGGAUUUUAUCGUGGUUCACCCCAAUGUUUGGGCUACGUCCACACUGUAGUUGAUUCUGUUUCUCUGUAAUUGUAUGGAUACAAGUGUUUGAGAGGAAGUCCCCCAGAGAAAGAAGAGAAGGGAGAGGAGAGCCUCGGUGGUGUGAGGUCUCUCCUGAAUGUAAUGAGAGCUUCUCUUAGCCUUCUUAGGCUUGGCUCUUUUGCCCCCUUUUAGAAUGAGGGGAGGAGUCCCCUUUUAUAGAAUAAGGGGCUCCUCCUCUUUUACAAAGUAUGGGCUUUAGUGUGAGGCCCAAAUACAAGGCCCAAGGCCCAAAUAUACGAGGCCCUAAAUAUGGUAUAAACAGUAGUCCCCCAAGUCUUCAGUCAAGAGAGUCUUUUGGCUGGAGACUUGAAAUUCAGUCCAUGUGUGGGCCGAAGUAACUAAAUGUCGUCUAGAACUGAUGCUCGAUAUGAGGCGGUACCCAAUCUGAAAUGAUGCUCAACUAGAAGUAGCACAUGUUGUGAGGCCACUUUGCUUGUAGCUUAUGUUGCCUUGGUUGGCUUGGCUUGUGGCGUUUGAAGGUGAGGGAGUCCCUUUUAUAAAAUAAGGGCUCGCUCCUCAAUACAUAAAUGAUGGGCUAGAGUUGAUGCUCACGGCGAGGCGGUUGCUCAGCAGGCGGCGAUGCUCUCUAAUGAUGGUGAGGGAGUCUUUUUUAUAAACUAAGGGCUCGCUCCUCGAUACAUAAAUUUAGGAGUGAUGCUCGUGGCGAGGUGGUUGCUCAGCUGGCGGCAAUACUCUCUAAUGGUGGUGAGGGAGUCCCUUUUAUAAAAUAAGGGCUCGCUCCUCAAUACAUAAGUGAUGGGCUAAGUCCCCCAAGUAUUUUUCAUGAGGCCCAGUUGAGGCCCAAUAUAUGGUACAUAAUGUAGUCCCCCAAGUCUUCGGUCAAUAGAGUCUGUUGGCUGGAGACUUCAAAUUGAAUCCAUGUAUGGGCCGAAGUGGCGGUUGUUCGGAGGCGGUAUUUGUAUACCCUGCACUGAAGCUUUGUAGGUGAAGCUUUGCAAGUGAAGCUUUGAAGCUAGAGCUCUGUAAAUGAAGCUUUUGAAGCUGAUUGACAUGAGUGAUGCUCAUGAAUGUUUAUGUUGAUUGACAUGAGUGAUGCUCAUGGAUGUUGUUAUGAGUGAUGCUCAUGAAUGUUGACAUGAGUGAUGCUCAUGAAUGUUUAUAUAUGAUUGAUAUGAGUGAUGCUCAUGAAUGUCUAUGUAUGAAUGACAUGAGUAAUGCUCAUGUAUAAUUUGGAGUACUAGGCGUACUUUUGAUCACCUGGUUGGUGGCAUGAAGGAGAGUACGGGUUGUACAUUUCAUCACCUGGUUGGUGGCAUGAAUGGCUAGUUGCCAAAUUAGAGUACGAGUUGUACAUCUCAUCACCUGGUUGGUGGCAUGAAUGGCUAGUUGCCAAAUAGAGCACGGGUUGUACAUCUCAUCAUCUGGUUGGUGGCAUGAAUGGCUAGUUGCCAAAUGAUAUUAGAGUACGGGUUGUACAUUUCAUCACCUAGUUGGUGGCAUGAAUGGCUAGUUGCCAAAUGAUAUUAGAGUACGGGUUGUACAUUUCAUCACCUAGUUGGUGGUAAUAGCGGCGGGUUGCCGAAUAAUUUUUUUAGAAGUACUGGGCGUACUUUUGAUCACCUGGUUGGUGGCAUGAAGGAAAGUACGGGUUGUACAUUUCAUCACCUGGUUGGUGGCAUAAAUGGCUAGUUGCCAAAUUAGAGUACGGGUUGUACAUUUCAUCCCCUGGUUGGUGGCUUAAAUGGCUUAUGGGCCUUCGCUCUCCACCACAUGCCAGCCUUUUUUUUUAUUUUUUUUUUAUUUUUUAUUUUUUAUUUUUUUUAUUACUACCCUCUGAUGGGGUUUAUACAAAUGUUUCCGAAAGAUACGAAAAAUAGAUUACAUCAUUCAAAAAUAAGGAAAGUAAACCACAUCACUCUGAUGGGGUGUUUAUUCCUUGCUUUUGCAGUACGGGUCCUUGCUGUUGCUUGUGUUUUUCUACAACAUUCUCUCUGUUUCUGUCUUUGCGUUGCCAGAGAUUUGGCUUCCACUUGGUGACGUUGUUCCUUUCUGCUUUGGAAAGUAGACAGCUCCUGUUUGUAAAAGCAAGAAGAUACCGUUUGUAAAAGCAUCUUUUCCUUUUGCUUUUUUUUUUUUUCACUUUGUUUCCCACUACUUUGCUCUUUUGCUUUUUGUGCUGUCAUCUGCUGCUGGGGAUCUGAAAGUGUUAUGCAGUGGGCAUCUUCUCAAUGGGAGUGACAAAGCAUCAUCGUGGCCUUGUUGUGCCAUCAUCGUCACAGCAGUGCUUUACAGUAAUGGCUCUAGCUAAAGCAUCAAGGUCUUCAAGCAGUUUCCCAAUUCUGACCUCAUUCCAAGGAUCCCUGUAAUGCUCCCGCAAUAUAUAAUCCGUCGAAAAAUUGCACAGAAACUUGACCCGGACCUCUCCAGCCUGCGGCGGAGCCACCUGUACGUCUUCGAUCACCAAAGGCUUAUCGGGUUCCCAGGCCAUCGCUGCUUUGUUGGUGACGACUUGACCUUGGGUAACCAUGGAUUUGAAUCUACUUGUCGAGCUCCUGCCAUUUAUUGAGAAUCUGGGUGCAGCCUGACAAGGCUUCGGUCCUCAUGAAACCCAUAGCAUUGGCAAACCGGCUGUACGAAGCAAUACCAUUGUUGGCGGUGAGGAUGACACAUGCAUACCAUUAUUGGCGGUGAGGAUGAUCUUCCAUGGUUUGUUCACCAUUUUCUGAGGUUUGUGAAGCUCACUCACUGUGUGUUGAUCAUGGUGCGUACGGGAUUCGGCAAGGUCGCCUACUAUUUUCUUCACGGAGGCGGAUGAGGCCAUGGCUUGCCUUAGAAAAACCACUGGCCCAGGUGGAGGCCCGUUUUGAGCUUUAUCAGCACAUUUGUUUUCUCUUUCUCUAAAAGCUGUGUAGGUGAUUUCCGACACGGGAAGGGAGGAAGGAAGGGUUGCAGUGUGCGUUCAAGGAGAGUCCAAGAGAAGUAGAGAGAGAACUGCGGUGGGCUCACGGUAUCCGAAUGUCACCACUUUGCUGCUGCCUUUCCGUUGCUAUCGGCCGAGACGAGUGUGAACGUUGUUAUCUGGGCUCAUGGAUGGGACUCUCGCUGGGCAGAGAGGAACAAGGAGCAGCCGUCUGGACCUUGGGGGAGUCGACAGCAGCAGGGAGCGGAGAGCGUCUCUCUUGCUGCUCUCAUGAUCUCCGGCUGAGCCGCAAGUGGGAACUGCCGUGCCAUGCUCGGGUCGCUGCUGCUGGGACCCGGUUCUCCUCCGCUCGGGCCGGCUUGCUGCUUUAAAUCUGACGGGGGUAGGUGGCAUGGAUGGUGCUGGUGGCAGCUACUGGGUUUGCUGAAUCGGGUCAAUAACUGGGGAAGAGACAAUGGUUUCUUCACAAUCUGAGGAGAAUAAGCCAUUGUUGGAGUCGAUUCUUCUGUUAUCUUCCUUCUUUUCUUUUUUCAUUUGCUCUUUCUCUUUCAAUCUUUUGUAAUGAAGCUUUUCAGAACCUCUCUGACAAGUUACCAAUUUGACAAGGCUGUUUGUUUUUCUCCAUCUCUAGUUUUCAGAUCUAGGAAGUAGUAGUUGCAGAGAGAUUAAUUGUGAAUUAGAGAGAGAGAGAGAGAGAAAGAGAGAGAGUGAAGGGAGGAGACAGAGAUUUGGAUCUUUCUGGGUUUUUGUGAUUUUUCUGCUUUCUGGGUUUUGUAGAGAGAGAGAGAGAGAGAGAUAAGAAAGAGUUUGAGAGGUAGAGGCAGAUGCAGAGUCUGAAACCAGAGGCUCAAUGGAUCUGCUGGAGCACCAAUUCCUCCAGAGCACGGUGCUGAUCUUCCAACGACAGCGAGAAGUUACUCAAGUCGUCAAUCGCAAUCUGCAUCAGCUGCGCGUUCGAAGGCUUCUUCAGCUCGUCCAUGAGCUGCUUUAUCUCUAGCCGGCGGUCGUUUAGGUCGGCAGGAGACAAUCGCUCGACAUCUCGCGCCUUCUCUUUCAAUUGGACGGGAUCAGAGUGACCAAUGGCCCAUUGUGAUCGGAGUGGCCUAUGGCCCACUAUAACAUUCGCUCAAGAGAAGAGAAGCCACCGUCGGCGUCAAGGUCAGCGAUGGCGGUAUCGUCAUCCCGAGGCUGAGUCCGAGUCUAAGCCUGCGUCUCGUCUUCUGCACUGGACCACUAUACCCUUUCCGUAUUGUUAAUAUUUCGCUCCAAGGAACAACAAUCAUGGCACACUUUGCUAGGAGUAAGGUUUUGGGUUCUUGCAGAUUUUGCAGAUUCACGGUGGAGGUGAAAAAAUGAAAGAGAACCGACAUAGUUUUUCGUGUCGAUUCCCACAGACGGCGCCAAAUGUUGAUGCACAAAACCAGAGCGGUUUUGGAACAACGUAAAUCCGACCGUGAAUCUGCACAAACGCUCAAGAACACGAAGAACACAAAGAACACAAGGAUUUUAUCGUGGUUCACCCCAAUGUUUGGGCUACGUCCACACUGUAGUUGAUUCUGUUUCUCUGUAAUUGUAUGGAUACAAGUGUUUGAGAGGAAGUCCCCCAGAGAAAGAAGAGAAGGGAGAGGAGAGCCUCGGUGGUGUGAGGUCUCUCCUGAAUGUAAUGAGAGCUUCUCUUAGCCUUCUUAGGCUUGGCUCUUUUGCCCCCUUUUAGAAUGAGGGGAGGAGUCCCCUUUUAUAGAAUAAGGGGCUCCUCCUCUUUUACAAAGUAUGGGCUUUAGUGUGAGGCCCAAAUACAAGGCCCAAGGCCCAAAUAUACGAGGCCCUAAAUAUGGUAUAAACACCCUCGAUCUUAUUUUCUUAUGUUUUCAAUCUAUUAUUUCUAUGCAUUUUAUUUUCAAGCUUUGUUUUAUUUCAAUUUAAUUCAAAUAUCAUAUCUUUUCCGUUGAAGCUUCUCCAUUAUAUUAGUUUCAAUUUAGUUAGUAAGAAUUUUAGAAUCAAUUCGAUCUUUGUGGAAGGAUAUAUGUGCUUAUAUGCUAUACUAUCAUAUGAUUUGUAUAUUUGCGAGCACUAAAAUCCGAGACAUAAUGGGGUUAGUUUUGGUUGUCUAAUUUUCGCAAAAAAAAAAAAAAAAAAAACUAAAAACACGUUUGCCAUAAAAUAUGGUUGUUUGAUAAAAGUGCUUCGAGUAGAAAGUGUUAUGAACUAACAGAUGAAUAAUUAUAUAGUUAAAAAUAAGAACUAUAAGAACGUAUUACAUGGUUUAAAUGGACUUUGGGUUCGUGCUUUCAGAAAAGCUAAAAACACUUUUGUCGUAAAAAAUGGUUGUUUGAUAAAAGUGCUUCAAGGAGAAAGUGUUAUGAACUAACAGAUGAAUAAUUACAUAGUUAAAAAUAAGAAGUAUAAGUGACACGCCCCGACCCUGAUAUUCCCUGAAUACCAGGAUAGACACGUGUUGGCCGACACCCGAGAGUGACGAAAGCCAUUAAUUGAUACAAAAGCUAAGAAUAAGAAAUAAAUACGGAUUAUGAAUUUAAAAAGAAUGAAUUAACAAUUUAGGAACGUGUUCAGAGCAUACAACUAAACCUAGUCACUAACAAGAAUUAAGAUAAGAUUGAAUGAACAAGGAGUAGGUCCUACCCCGAGAAGACUCGAAGAUGCUGCUGCGGAAGUGCCUUGAUGCCGGGAUUCUAUGCCUCGUUUCUAAGACCUGAAUGGGGGCGCAAAAUAAGAGUGAGUGGACCAAGUUUAUAUACAUACAUAGUACGAAAACAGUUAUGAACAUACUAAUCCCCACAGUUAAGAUAAUGAAAACUACUAAAUAAUAAGUGAUAGGUUUCUCAAAACCUCUAGCAUGCCAUAAAAACAAUUCAUAUAUCCAUCUGCAAAUCAAUCUCAGAAAAUCAUAUCAUAAAUCAUCUCAGCAAUCAUAUCAGGAAGCAUAAUACAAGUUGUGCUGCUAGUGAGUGCACUGAAUAAUAAUACGCCCGGCCCAAUGCCUGCACCUCAGUCUCUGUGCCCGUAGCCAGAGAUAUCUCCCUCCCGGCCCAAUGCUUGUCUCCGUGUCCCUCAGCCUUUCGCUAGGGAUUAUUUCUCCCGGCCUCAAUGCCAACACCAGAUCCUCGCCCCAGGCGGCAUAGUGUUCACUAGGUACGCACAAAACAUAAUUCAUCUCUAAAAUACAACUUCGUAGCAUAAAUUCAUCGAUCCUCUAUACUACGAAGAGGUGUUCAACAAUCAUUUGAAACACAUUCUUAGCAUCCUAUCGUCAUCAAUCAGAUAGUCUACCAGAAUGAGGGUUCUAUAGAAAAUACAAUAUAAUGACAAUAGUUCAAAAUAUAUAUAAUCAAUCAUAAUUAAAUCAUCAUGCUUCCUGUAAGGUAUUCCUCAAAUCAAAUAAUUCUGCAAGGCAUGCUAUUAAAUUAUGCAAUUCUAUCAAUAAAACAUGCAAUUUUCGAAGGUGGUCCACUCACAGAUACUUCGAAGCAGCAGAAUUCUGUGGAAAAAGAUUAAGGAAGUCUCCACUAGCAACUUCACAUAAGCACGAAAAUAUACAAUUUAAUCAAACUACCCAAACGAUAGAAUUUUAGGAAAUGGAAAUGGGUCUUGGGUUGAGAAGGGUGGUUUGGGCUUAAACCCAAACCCACACUCACACACACGUACUGUACACACACACAGGGCCUGCACACACACACUGUGCAGCCCAAAACACACCCACACACUUCAUGCACAUGCACGGACACACACACACACACAACCCACACACAUGUACGCCAGCACACGUGUCACAUGCAUGCACAUCACACCAUACACAUCACACAACACACACACUGUACGGACACCAACAUGCCAAACACACACACACAGACAGCAUGCAUAUAUAUAUAUAAACACACACACACAGACAGCAUGCAUAUAUAUAUAUAGGGGUUUCUCCAUUUUAAUCCUUAAUAAAGAUUGAAAUUCAAUUAAAACCUUAUGUUAGAUUAUAUAUUCAUUAUAGUCCUUUGACUAAAUUUCCAUGUCAGCAUAAAUAUUAAAAUUUAUAUUUUCUUGUUUUUAAAUAUUUAAUGCGUUUUUUUGGUUCCUAUAAUGCCCCUAUUAAAUAUUUGAUUUUAAUUUGCUCCAUAUUUUUUGCAUUGAUUAUUGUCUGACUUUCUAAAAUGAUAAACAUAAUUCAAAAAAAUAUUAGUGAUACAUUACAAGAAUUAACAAAUACCUAAUUCAAAUUAUUCAUUAUCACCAUUCAAAGCCUAGAGGAAAUAUAAAUAGCCAAAUCAUAUAUUUUACAUAAUCGAAUGCACUUAAACCAUGUCCUAAUGUGCUUAAAUCAUAUAACCUAGUCGAAUGCACCUAAACCAUGGUACUUAUAUGAAUGCACCUAAAUUAUGGUACUUAUAUGAAUGCACCUAAACCAUUACCUAUGGUCUUGUAUAUGAAUGCACCUAAAUCAUGGUACCUAUAUGAAUGCACCUAAAUCAUAGUACCUAUAUGAAUGCACCUUAAUCAUUUAGGUACUAUCAAUUAGGUCUUAUCCAUUCGGUAUGGUCGGUUAGGUACUAUAUAGUGUAUGUCCGAUUAAUUUGGUACGGUCAAUUAAGUUGUGAUUUCACAUUCUAUUUUCUCAAUUUGUAUUUUUUUUCAUUUAUCUCUGGAUUCACCGUCAAUUUGGCAUCUAAAAGCCCAUUUUUCUUCUUUCUUCCGAAUACAACGAGAUUUUUGGUUUGUAAGUUUUAUGGCUUUUUUGUUUGAUCAUGGUUUCUGAGUUUUCUGGGUUCUUUGAUUGGAAUAACACAUGGAGAUUUAUGUUAUAACAAACAUGUUAAUUAUGGAUCUAGUUAAUUAAGCAUUCUUGAAAAAUUAAUUAUAUAUUUGUUUCUCUAAUUGGUUUUAAGAGAGUAAUAAGGGUAAAUAGGGAAACUAAAAAAUGCAAAUAAAUUUAUUAAAAAAUGAUUGAAUGUGACAUGGAAUUACUAUAAUCUGACAUGGAGGACUAUUUUUAGUUUUUAAUCUUACAUACGGUAUUAUUGAAAAAGUAAUCUUAUUUAGGGAUUAAAAUGAAGUUUUCUAAUAUAUAUAUACACCUACAUAUAAACACACACGCAUGCACAGCAUGCAUAUAUAUAUAUACACACAUAUAUAAACACACACACAGCAUGCAUAUAUAUAUAUAAUCCCACACACGCACAGCAUCAUGCAUAUAUAUAUAUAUAUAUAUAUAUAUAUAUAUAUAUAUAUAUAUAUAUAUAUAUAUAUAUAUAUAAUCACACACACGCACAGCAUGCAUACACACACAGCAUGCACCGUACCACACACACACUCUUGAACACACACACACACCUACGAACUCGCCGGAGUUCGUCGUCGGAACCGGGUUUUUGGCAUAGAGAAAAGGUAAGGUCAAAACCCUCGAUUUUGACCUUAAAACCAACACAAAUAACAUGAUUAACCCCAGAAAUUUGAAGAAAGAAAACAAGUAUCACCUGGGUUCGAAUUUGAGAGCUUCAAAGCUCACGGCAUCAAUGGUGAUUCACUUCACAAUGCCCCGAUGAUGCAUGCAAGACCAUAAUCUUGUUCCCCGAGUCCCAUAGGUUUAGAAUAUCAAGAUUUGGGGUUGAAUUGUGAAGAAAAUGGCACUGGUGGUGGCUGGGUUCUUUCUCGGCACCGGAGAGAAGGGAAAGAAAAGGAACGGAGAGAAUAAGAGGAAUGAAAACUGAGAGGGAAAAAUAGAGAACUUGGGGGAACAACAUUCAGGAGUGGGCCCCACGGUUCACCAUUUAAUAUAAAAAAACAAGUUUUUAAAUAGAAAUGGGUGAGGUGUUACAACUUACAAUAAGAACGUAGAAGGUUUACAUUGACUUUGGUUUCGUGCUUUUGGAAAUGUUAAAGAUACUUUUGUUGUAAAAAAUGGUUGUUUGAUAAAAAUGCUUCGAGUAGAAAGCAUUAUGAACUAACAAAUGACUAAUUACAAAAAAAGCAUAAGUGUUACGUGAAAGGGACUUAUAAGUCAAGGUUAUGUGCUCGAUUUUUCUUCUUUAAAUGCUAUUUAUAUAAAAAAAAAAAUGGCACAGUUAUGCGCAAUAAUUAUUUAGUAUAGAAUUUCGUAGACCUACCAUGCAUGAUUUAUUACACUACUAUGUAUUUUUUUUUCUUGAGAAAUGCUAAGGGACUCUUUCAAAAGUAGAAAUCUUCAUUGACUAUAUGUCACUUCAUGUUUUUUACACAAUAUUUUAUAAUGAUGACACAUAAAUUAACGUUAAACUAUGAGGUUACAAAAAGAAUUCCGUAGCAUUUCUCUUUUCUUUUUUUCUUUUUUCUUUUUGUCUUUUGACUUUGAAAUUUCAAUGAUAUAACAAUUAACACAAAGAAUGCUACAAUUUUGCAGAUGGACACAUGGCCACUUAUCUAAGUUGAUUCCCAAUGGUUCAAUUAAGUCAUGAGCAAGGGAAACCAAUGGAGAAUUUUAUUUUCUUUUUGGUUGGGUAAGAUGCUUUAUUCAAAUCAACGAUCCAAAUUGUUUAUUUAUUUAGUCUUCAUUUAUAAAUUAUUUUUGCAAAAAGAACAAUUUAAUUCGAAACUAUUUACCUUUUUGAUUGUUGUGAUGAAAUUUUAAUAUUUCUUAGAACAUAAUGUUCGUUAAUUUUUUUGAACUCAAUACAUGUCUCAAACAUUUUCGUCAUGCAUAAUAUUUUUUUAAGGAUGAUGAAACGCAACUUGAAAAAAUAGACAGUUCGAAUAGUUAAAGUUUGAUGUGAAAUAGGGCCCCGAACUAGUCUCUAUUUUUAUAAAAAAAAAUGGAGAUCUUUUUGAAUAAAGGGUCUAUUUAUAUAAAACAGAAGAAACACGCACAUCUCUUUAGUCCCAUAUCCAAAUGCAUAAAACGCUUCAUAUUCCUAUUCUUCUUUAUCCAAGUCAAGCUGAUCCGGCUUAAUCCAAGUCAAGCUAAAAAGGUGAACACAAACGGAGCCAAGAGUCUCUCAGGCUAAAAAGGUGAACAUAAAACGCUUCAUAUUGCUUCAGACCCUCAUUUCUUAAAAAAAAAAAAAGAAAACCCGGACAAAACCUCUCUCGACAUACCCUCGAGACACCAUCAAACUGUAGACCCAGACAUUUGUUUGCCAAAAAUUUCAACAGAAAAAAACUGUUACGUUGCAUGCAUGUAUUUGUAGACGAUCAAGCUGCAUUUACAUGUUUCUUCCUUAAUGUGCUAUCUUACGCUCACAAGAUAAUUGCAAGUUAAACUUUCCGAAAAGAGAUUGCAGAUAAACUGUUUGAUGAAAUCCCUGAACCGUUUUCUUUCCCAACAAUGGCCAAUUUGCAGGGUUAGGAACUUAGGUGCCACUGUAACACAUUUCCUGAACCGCCUCCUCUUGUGAAAGUUGGAGCUCUGUGAUUUUCGGCUUCUGCUCGUGCUGGGAUUCGUUCGACGACUUCCGACUUUCAACCCGUGCAAACUAGAAGUAGUAAGUGAAAACCCAACUUAAACUAGUUUUUUUUUUGUUUUACUUUCGGAAAAAAUACAAACCCUUCUUAAUGAUUCUGCAUAUACACAGAUUUUGAUGUGUAGUGUCAAAUUCAGUCAGGUCCCUUUUGUUAGUUUCAGUUUUCUUCUUAACCAAACUGAUUGGGCAAGUUUAUGAAAAUCGAGGAGAUUUUCACGGAUAGUUUGAUUCGUUAUGUGACAUACCUUUUUGUGGUUAAACAUAUAUGAUGUAUACUCUUAGGCUUUAUUCACGUGUAAAAUCUUCUAAUAUGUUAUGUUAUCAAACUUCCAUCAUAGUUUCAGCUGAUGAUUGAUAGUUUGGUCCAUAAUUUUGCUCUAAACAAAGAGAAAAUAAAUAAAAGAGCUAUUCAACUUACAAUCCGAUUAGGGAAUGAACAUCCGACUCUUAAAUAUAUAUUUUGCACUAGAGAAUUUCUGGCUCAAUCCUUACACAUUAAUAUUUCUUCAUCUUCUGGGCAGCGAGCAUUAACCGGAACAUUGAAGAGAGAGGUGGUUUGGAAGUUGUCAGGCACCAUGAAAGAGUUACUGUUGUUUGCAUAUUCUGACCGAUUUGUACUCUCAGUUUCACUAUCCGGUUUGCUGCUUUUAACUUCAUCCUUUUGAUUUGGGACUUGGACUUGGCCUUGGGCCUUCCUGUUAAGAAGAAGAACAAGAAUUAGGAAUUGUAAACAAAUCGAAAAAAGAAAAAAUGAAUACAAAAUCUAGAUUCUAGAACUCUACCUUCUUCUAAGCCUUCUCCACUUUAGAUGGAGCAUGAAUUGAAUAUUGUCAAGGAGUUGGAAAUAUGCAUAUCUCCACGUCCUCUUGAGAAGCAAAGGGCAACAGAAUCCCAAUAACCCUACAAAGAAACCAAGCACAACGGAUAAGCCAAACCAUAGACUUUGAUCCUCAUCAUCAUCCAAAUCCUGGUUGUUCUCAUUCUCAUCUGCAUCAUUGCCAUUACUUGGCAAGCACUGGUUUGAAAGUGGGGCACCGCAAAGUUUCGGAUUCCCUUCGAAUGCAGAGACACUGAAGCCUUGGAGCUGAGUGCCGGCUGGUAUUGGUCCUUCAAGAUUAUUGUAUGCAACAGUAAAUGUAGACAAGAAAUGGAGAUUUGAUAGUGAUGAUGGGAUUUCGCCUGACAGAUGGUUACUGUUGAGUUCUAAUCUCUCCAACUUUGGGAGGUUGGCUAUUUGGUCUGGAAUGUUGCCGGAGAAGUUGUUGAUGCUGAGAUCCAGUUGUUGAAGAAAUUGCAAUUGGCCAAUCUCAAAGGGUAUGCUGCCGCUUAAACUGUUGUUCCUGAGGGAGAUUACUCUUGGCAUGUUGUACAGAUACUUGUACUGUGAAGACAGCAUAGUUGCAUUAUUACCGCGUUGAAAGUAGACGGGCAACUCAAGAGAACAAUGGCAUGUUUCAUUUGCAGCCUUUUGCGAUACUAAUGCUUGUAGUCUGCAAAGCUCCUUUGGAAAUUCACCCGAAAUCAAGUUGUCAUUCAACAACAAAAAGAAAAGAUGCGGAAGAGUCCCCAACCAACCAGGUAUUGUGCCAGUGAGUCUGUUAAAAGACAAAUCCAGGACUUCCAGUUUCCCGAGCUUUGAAGUCCAUGUAGGUAUGUGCCCUGUCAUACGACACUUCAAUAAACUGAAAACACACAGAUUUUGUAACCCGGAAUCGACAGUUAUAUCCCCAUCUGGCAUUUCUUCACCUAUAAAAUUUUUUGAAAGAAGGAGCACCUUGAGACUUUUGAAACCCGUCAGUAUCUUCAUUGCCCCCGUGACAUUGGUGAGUCUGUUACGGGCAAGCGAGAGGAAGGUCAAGUUUUUCAAUUGAAGAAUCUCAGGUCGGAUUUGGCCCUCGAAAUCAUUUGUAGACAGUCGAAGUGCUUUGAGGGACUUACAUGAGUAGAGGCUUAUUGGCCAUGUGCCAGUGAGAUUAUUACUUAUACAAUCUAGUUUAGUAAGUUGAGCAAGUUUAGAGAAAUCGAGCACAGAGAUAUUCCCACUAAAAAAGUUGAAUCCCAGAUUUAUUUCAACAAGGUUUGUGCAAUUCAUCAAAGAUGGGGGCAGAUGACCUUGGAGAUUGUUGUAAUGAAGGCGCAUGAGCUUUAAUUUGGAGAGCUUCCCAACAUUCUCACUGAUGGGUCCGACAAGCCCAUUGGUAGAUAAUGAAAUUUCUUGAAGUGCCUGAGCAUUAUAGAUAUCAGCAGGAAGGGACCCUGAGAGAAUAUUGUCGCCAGCACGAAAGACCUCCAAUUUGGAACAGUUUCCUAGUCCGGGAGGAAUUGGGCCACUGAAAUUAUUGUGGGAGAAAUCCAAGACUCUAAGAAAGGUGGAACGAAGACAGAUAGAGGAAGGUAUUUGGCCUGUAAAAUGAUUAUUGUUGACAUUCAAACUGCUCAAAUUCCAGGCAUGCUGGAGGAAUGAAGAAGGAAUUGUAGAAUUGAAUUGAUUGUUCGACAAAUCCACUAUUUGAAUGUAACUAGAUGAUAGAAACAAAGGUAAUUCUCCGGAGAGAAGGUUAUAGCUCAAAUCAAGGAUUUCAAGGCAACUCGAGGACAAGAAGAGUCCAGCUUCCAGAGGACCGGAAAGCAGAUUGUGGGAGAGAUUGAGGUGCGAAAGAUGCGUGAGGCUUCCAAGAGAGCGAGAAAUGCUUCCUUGGAGCUGGUUAGCGGGCAACGAAACAUGUGUUACCCUACCAUCGGCAUCACAAGCAAUGCCUUCCCAGUGACAACAAUCACUGGAAGACCAAUUUAAACCAGAAGAAGAUAUAUCAAAAGAUGACAAAAGAGAGUUGUGAUCUGCCUCCUUGCAACCGUGGUUUAUAGAAAUGAAAGUAGACAACACAAAAAACAGGAAGAGGACUUCAUAAGGUAUUACGCGACUAGCUUCCGGCAUGAUGUUUUUCGCUAUGUCUGCACUGGAAUUAUAUUGCUCACAUCGUUUCGGGGGUAUAUAUACACUCCUUUGUUUGGAGCAAAGGAGGUAGAAAUUAACAAAGGAAAGAAGGUAAUUGGGCGAUGGUUCGAAUUCUUUGCGCAAUGUUUGAGUUUUGAUGUCUUUGCUUUGUACUUACAUGGACUUUGGCGUCGUGCUUUUUGGAGGAGCUAAAACAAAUUUUAGUUUUGAAAAUGAUUGUUGGCAAAAAAAUUUAAAAGGUCAGUUUUUUAGAGAUUUGACAGGAGAAAUGAUUCAUUUUUUUUAGUAAAGACGAUAUAUUAAUCAUAUACUGAUGACUAAAUACUGAUGAUUAAAAAAGAGAGUUAUGAACUAAUAAAUGAAUAAUUAUACAGUUAAUGUAGAAAGGGUUUUUCCUUAAUAAUCAAAUGUACAUGAGUACAAGAUUUAUACAAGAGGUUUUUUCCAUCACCAUCCUAUACUAAUGACAAUAUAAAUUACAAAUAGAUUACAUAACGGACAGUGGUUACAAAGAACUUGUAACAAAAUAAAGUACAAAUAAAUUACAUAACGGAAAGUGGUUACAACGAUCGCAUUCAAUAACCGUAAAUUAUGGGCGAUAAGGCGACGACUUCAAAGUCGUUGAAAUAUUUCUUUCAUCUCUUAGGAGGGUGUAUUCAAUUGAGAAUUUGAGAAACUUUAAUAGAUUUAUAAAUUCAUGGAUUUUUAUGGAGUUAAUUGAUUUGUAGAGAUUCCAUAUAAAAUUUUGAUUCAAUUCCCUCGAAAUCUCAUGUGGAGAGGUGAGAUUUGUGGAUGCUUAAAAUACACUACGAAAUCUCUCCAAUUCCCUCUAAUUCCUCAACUUUCUCAAAUUCUUUAAAAUCAAUUUCUAAUUGAAUACACCCGAAUUUUUAAGGAUUUUAAUAAACAAUCUUAAAAUUUCAAUUGAAUACACCUUGAAUUUCAGAUAAUCACUUAAAAUCCUAAUUGAUUACCCCUAAAUUUAUUGAAACAAUUAAAAUCCCUUAAAAUUCCAAUUGAAUACACCCCUUAGUCUUUGGUUUGACUGUAUCUUUCUCAGAUUUAAAGGAAACACCAAAGUUAGAAAGGACGACUCUGCUUUUGUUUGACUUUGAGGCUCUGUCUCUAUUUGUUUCUGCAUAAAUCUGCGAGAGAAAAUUCAUCGAAUUUCAUGUCGAUUAAAAUUUCAGGUUUUUGUUUUAGGUGAAGAGAAGAGCGAGAUUCGAACUUUUUUUCACUGAGUGAAGGUAAGUACCCUACCACUUGAGUUGUCCCACACAGUUGUUUAAUUUUGUUUUUUGAUUUUUUGGGAAAAAAGAAUAUUGUGAUGUGAAAUAACUGUAAAUUACGGAAACCUCUAGGUGCAAAGACUGGUAAAUUUAUUGAAAAAAAAGUUGAGAUUUCACCAUACAACCAAUUGACAAUAUGAGGAGUAACCUAAUUUACAUAAUGCGGGAUUCAGUCUCGACAUUUACAAUUUUCGCAUACAUCUUCCAUAUUCUAAGUUGUAUUAUUACUUGCACUAAUUCGAAAGCGGGGACCUGCGAAGUAUCGGGUUGCUCGCAACGGCAGUGCAUUGAGGUGAAGUCUCGGGUUGCCCUUGGGCCUCAACGGCAGUGCAUUGAGGCCUUGGACGAAGACUUCGAUAGUGUCACUAGCAUUCUGUCGGAUAUAUGAUUUCCUGAGAGGUCGGAAUCGUCUCUCCAAGUUGGUGAGGCUGGAAUCUGGUCAGGAAUGAUGCCAAAGAAGUUAGUCGUCGCUAAGAUCCAUUACAUACUUAAGAAAUAAGUGUAGAAAAUGUAGAUAGAAUUCAAAGCAUCAAUUGCACGAGAGGGUCCAUACAAGGUUUUCGGAUUAUUCCUUUCCGACUUUGAUGACUUUAGAGACAAGGCAUCAGCUUACUACUAAUGAAACAAAAUAAUGAUCAUAUGUGCAAACCAAUAAUUGAGCCAACCCGCGACUUUAGCGUUUUAAGUCCAUUGUUCCAAUUCGGGUAAAGACAAUAUGUCGGAUAGAUGAUUUCCUGAGAGGUCUGAAUUAUCUCUCCAAAUUGGUGAGGCUGGAAUCUCGUCUGGAAUGAUGCCAAAGAAGUUGUCGUCGCUAAGAUCCAUUACAUAUGUAGAAGAAAAAUAAGUGUAGAAAAUGUAGAUAGACUUCAAAGCAUCAGUUGCACAAGGGGGUCCAUACAAGGUUUUUGGAUUAUUCCUUUCCGACAUUGAUGACUUUAGAGACAGGGCAUCAAAAGUAAUCAAAGUUCGAGAAACGGUUCAUCAGCUUACUACUAAUCAAACAAAAUACUGAUUACAUGUGCAAACCAAUAGUUGGCAACUUUAGCGUUUUAGAUUUAUUGUUCCAAUUCGGGGUAAAGACAAUCUAGUGCCUCGACCGAGGUUUUUAACUUUUUGAUGCGGGGCAUGCUUCAAUUGAGCAGACAUGCUUCAACUAGGGUUUUCAAAUCUUGCACUAGGAGAUAGUGAACCCUGUUUUUCAAUUCAUAUUAAUUCAUAUGUCCCUUCGUAUCGCUAUAGUUUUCACUAAAAAAGUAAGUUUAAAAUGGUAGGUGGGUUUAGAUAUUUGUCCACAAUAUUUGAAAUUUCUUUGCUUUCAUGCAAUAUAUAGAAUGAAAAAUCAGUGGUAGAGAGUGAAAAUAGUUCACAUUAGAAGGUUUACGUACCUUUUUUUUUUAGGAAAACUAAUGAAAAUGGCCUAAAAACUUUGAGUUUUAAUGAUAAGGACAAAAUAAAGAAUAAAGUGAAUAGUACUAGGAUUGACUUUUUAGUGUAAAAAUGUGGUUUUUCGUUAAAGUGAACAGUACCGUGUGCUUUUCGUUAAAGUUCCCUUUUUUUUUUUGGUAAAAAAGAAGGUUUUACAUACUUUGACAAUGAGUCCCACAAUACUUGUAAUCACUAGACAGGUUUUUUUGAUGCAAUCAUCAUGCAAUCAAGUUAAGGAAAUUCGUGCAUAACGUAAAUAGGAGCCACUUAUAAUUUCGUUUUCAGUUUCAGUUUUCACUUUUAUUAAAAAAUGAAAAUUAAUAUAUAUUUGGUAACUGUUUUUAGUUUUCAAAAAAUGAAAAUUGACAGCUAAAUUUUUUUGAGUUUUCAAAAUGGGAGGUGAAUUGUCAUUUAGUACUACGGUUUAAUGAUAUUUUUGUUCACUUGUAAGUGAGACGUUUUAGAUUUGAUUCUUGCCAAAAGCGAAUUUGGAUCAUAGUAUUGCUACCACUAGACCGUAUUACAAAAUGGCUAUUUCUAGCUAUUAGAUUGAAUAAACCAAACAAAAUCCACAACAAUAAUUAAACAGGAGUAUGUAAAUAGCUAAGUUUGUGUACAAUUAUCAAUUUCCUUCAAAAUUUGGCCUUAUUUUUAACUUGCUUUUUUAUUUAACUUUUUUGAAAAUUGAAAUGAUUAUCAAACAAGUAAGAAAAAAGUUUUCCAAAUUAAGAAGAGAACUUAGAAAAUUUAACUAUUGGAUGACAACCACCAUUUCAACUGGAUUAGUCGAUUCAGAUUAGAAUUAAUUGUAAAAUCAUAUCAACUAAUAUUUCAUUCAGCAUUCGUAAUUGUGCACUUUUGAUUUUUCAAUGAAUUUAUUUAACUAAACAAAAGCAAUUACCGUUAAAUGCAGUAGUACUAGUACUUAGAUGGCCUACCAUGUUGAUUUGUUUCACAAUUGUAUGUUUUUUCUUGACUUUAAAAGCCAAGCCACAAUAAUUAACUAGAAGAAAGUUUCCCAGCAAGAAUGUUGAGGCAUUAUCUUCAGGGCUGUAGAGUCACACAUAUUGAUUCUUUUCUAUGUUGAUAAUUUCUCAAUGCAGAUUGAAUUCAAAGGUUUAUUAAAGUCUUGAAUCUUUGUCGAGGUCUUCGACACUUUUGGAACGCAUGUUGGGAGUAUGAAUUCCAUAUGUGGGAGAGGCUGAGAGUAUGAAUUCCACAUCGGAAAAAGAAUGGACUUUGCAUAUGCUUAUAAGUAAUUAAACUAUUACCAAUAUUGCCAAUUUAUGAUAGAACUUGAACUUACUCCGAUGCAUGUCACGUUAAUAAAUCACAAUACGAUUAUUGGAAAAGAUACAGAAACUCUAAAAAAUCUCCCAUGGAUAGGAAGGAGCUAUACCACAGGAUGUUCUGUUUCUUCGCCCUAAAGAAGUACUGAAGUAGAGAUUUGUACAUUGUCUAGGAAUUGGAACUGCGUAAAUCUUCGGAUCUUAAACAUGAAAGAGCCAUAAGCUCCGAAAAAUCGUGUGGUGAACCCAGGUGCGAAAGAGAAAUGAAACCAUGGAAUUGGAUUCCCAUUGUCCAAAUGACACGCCCCAACCCCGAUAUCCCCAAAUAUCAGGGAAAACACGUGCUAGCUGACACCCAAGGAUGACGAAGCCAUUUAAAACAUGCAUGCAAAUAAAGAAUAUAUGAUUAGAACGAUUAUACCAAAACAGGAACGUGUGUGAAAAGUAAAAUAGAGUGUGGAUAUCACACCCUUUUUUUUAUGGGAACUUUAACGAAAAGCUCCCGGUACUGUUCACUUUAAGGAAAAACCACAUUUUUACACUAAAAAGUCAAUCCUGGUACUAUUCACUUUACCCUUUAUUUUGUCCUUAUCAUUAAAACUCAAAGUUUCCAGACCCUUUUCAUUAGUUUUCUUUUUUUUUAUUCCUCACAAGCUUGGUAAACGCUGGAAUGCUUUGAGAGGAAGUGCCAUUCCGUUUCUUCCCAUUUCAGUCCGGUUUCGUAACCACGCCAUCGGUGAAAUGGGCCGUACUAAUGGAGGGUAUAAUUAUGGGUUGGCAACGUCUUAGAAGGUUUACAUUGACUUUGGGCUAGUGCUUUUAGAAGAGUUCAAAGCACUUCAAAAAUGUUGUUUAUUAAAAGUGCUUUGAAUAGAAAGUAGAAACACUAUUAAUCACUUUGGACAAUUUUUUAGAUGCAAUCAAGUUAAGGAAUUUCGAUUAAAUAGGAGAGUUAUGAACUAACAGAUGAAUAAUUAUAUAGUUAAGAAUAAGUAGAAAUGAGAUGAUCAUUAAUUUAUUUAUUUAUCAGAAAAUUCUUUAUGAUUUAACAGUGUGCAAAAUUACGUACUUGAUUUUUUCUCUUUAUAUAUCUUUUGUAUAAAAAUAAAUGAUACAGUUACGCGCAAUAUUAAUAUAAACUAACGUAAAAUCUACCAUGCUUGACCUAUUUCCCUACAAUAUUUUUUUUUUUCUGUGUAUUUGACUUCAAAAUUGCAAAGUAUAGUCAUUAUCAUGAAGAAUGCUUGAGAUUUUGGACAUUGACGUGCCAACUUAUCGAUGUUGAUUUUGUUCUUCUAAGCAGAUUGGACUCAAUGGUUUACUUAAGUCAUGAUCAAAGGAAAUUAAUGGAGCAUUUUUUUUCCUUGGGUAAGAUGCUUUAUAUAAAACACCAUGAUACAAUACGAAACACGAUCGAAACAGUCAAUCUAAAAUUCAAGUGGCCAAAACAGAAAACAAAAGCGUCAUCUUUUUUAAAUGUAGACUGGUUGUGGGUGUCACUCUACAUUGACUUUCAAUAAUGCAAACAGUCUAUUUUUCAAUCUUCUUUUAUAGUUUACUGUUGCAAAAACACACAAAAAAAAAUCAAUUAUUCGAAACUAUUUGCCGAUUUGAUUGUCAUAAUGAAAUUUUAAUAUUUCUUAUAACAUAGUGUUCGUCAAUUUAUUUGAACUCAAUUAGAUGUUUCAAACAUUUUCGCUACUUGAACACAAACGGAGCCAAAGUCUCUCUAGAUCAGUUGUGAGCCAGGCCUACUGCAUUAGACCACAUUGAAAAGAAAAAAAAGAAAAAAAAAAUCCGGAAGAAAACCUCUUUUGACAUAACCUCGAGACACCAUCAAACUGUAGACCCAGACAAUUGUUUGCCAAAAAUUUCAACAGAAAAGACUGGUACGUUGCAUGCAUGUGUUUGUAGACAAUGAAGCUGCAUUUACAUGUUUCUUCCUUAAUGUGCUAUCUUACUCUCACAAGACAAUUGCAAUUUUAAACUUUCUGAAAAGAGAUUGCAGAUAAACUGUUUGAUGAAAUUCUUGAACCGUUUUCUUUUGCCUUUUUUUUUUUUUUUUUUUUUUUUCAGAUUCCCAGAUUGAUUUCAUGUUUCCAACAAUGGCCAAUUUGCAGGGUUAGGAACUUAGGUGCCUAACCCUUGCGAAAGUUGGAGCUCUGUGAUUUUCGGCUUCUGCUCGUGUUGGGAUUCGUUCAACAACUUCCGACUUUCAACCAGUGCAAACUAGAAGAAGUAAGUGAAAACCCAACUUGCACUAGUUUUUUUGUUUUACUUUCGGAAAAAAUACAAACCCUUGUCAAUGAUUCUGCAUAUACACAGAUUUUGAUUUGUAGUAUCAAAUUCAAUCAGGAUCCUUUUGUUAGUUUCAGUUUUCUUCUUAACCAAACUGAUUGCGCAAGUUUAUGAAAAUCGAGGAGAUUUUCACGGAUAGUUUGAUUCGUUAUGUGACAUACCUUUUUGUGGUUAAAGAUAUCUGAUGUAUACGCUUAGGCUUUAUUCACGUUUAAAAUCAUCUAAUAAGUUACAUUAUCAAACUUCCAUCGUGAUUUCAGCUGAUGAUUGAUAGUUUGGUCCAUAAUUUUUGUCUAAACAAAGAGAGAAAAUAAAUAAAAGAGCUAUUCAACUUACAAUCCGAUUAGGGAAUGAACAUCCUACUCUUAAAUAGGUAUUUUGCACUAGAGAAUUUACUAGCUCACUCUUAAAUAGGUAUUUUGCACUAGAGAAUUUACUAGCUCAAUCCGUACACACCAAUAUUUCUUCAUCGUCUGGGCAGCAAGCUUUAACUGGAACAUUGACGAGAGAGGUGGUUUGGAAGUUGUCAGGGACCAUGAAAGAGUUACUGUUGUUUGCAUAUGCUGACCGAUUUGUACUCUCGGUUUCACUAUCCGGUUUGCUGCUUUUAACUUCGUCCUUUUGAUUUGGAACUUGGACUUGGCUUUGGGCUUUCCUGUUAAGAACAAGAACAAGAACUAGGAAUUGUAAACAAAUCGAAAAAAGAAAAAUGAACAGAGUCUAGAUUCUAGAACUCUACCUUCUUCUAAGCCUUCUCCACUUCAGAUAGAGCGUUAAUUGAAUAUUGUCAAGGAGUUGGAAAUAGGCAUAUCUCCACGUCCUCUUGAGAAGCAAAGGGCAAAUGAAUCCCAAAUACCCUACAAAGAAACCAAGCACAACGGAUAACUCAAACCAUAGACUUUGAUCCUCAUCAUUGUCCAAAUCCUGGUUGUUCUCAUUAUCAUCUGCAUCAUUGCCAUUACUUGGGAAGCACUGGUUUGAAAGUGGGGCACCGCAAAGUUUCGGAUUCCCUUCGAAUGCAGAGACACUGAAGCCUUGGAGCUGAGUGCCGGCUGGUAUUGGUCCUUCAAGAUUAUUGUAUGCAACAGUAAAUGUAGACAAGAAAUGGAGAUUUGAUAGUGAUGAUGGGAUUUCGCCUGACAGACGGUUACUGUUGAGUUCUAAUCUCUCCAACUUUGUGAGGCUGGCUAUUUGGUCUGGAAUGUUGCCGGAGAAGUUGUUGAUGCUUAGAUCCAGUUGUUGAAGAAAUUGCAAUUGGCCAAUCUCAAAGGGUAUGCUGCCGCUUAAACUGUUGUUCCUGAGGGAGAUUACUCUUGGCAUGUUGGGCAGAUAUUUGUACUGUGAAGCCAGCACAGUUGCAUUAUUACCGCGUUGAAAGUAGACGGGCAGCUCAAGAGAACAAUGGCCUGUUUCAUUCACAGCCUUUUGCGAUACUAAUGCUUGUAGUCUGCAAAGCUCCUUUGGAAAUUCACCCGAAAUCAAGUUGUCAUUCAACACAAAAAGAAAAGAUGCGGAAGAGUCCCCAACCAACCAGGUAUUGUGCCAGUGAGUCUGUUAAAAGACAAAUCCAGGACUUCCAGUUUCCCGAGCUUUGAAAUCCAUGCAGGUAUGUGUCCUGUCAUAUGACACAUAAGUAAACUGAAAACACACAGAUUUUGUAACCCGGAAUCAACAGUUAUAUCCCCAUCUGGCAUUUCUUCACCUUUAAAAUUUUUUGCAAGAAGGAGCACCUUGAGAGUUUUGAAACCCGUCAGUAUCUUCAUUGCCCCCGUGACAUUGGUGAGUCUGUUACGAGAAAGUGAGAGGAAGGUCAAGUUUUUCAAUUGAAGAAUCUCAGGUUGGAUUUGGCCCUCGAAAUCAUUUGUAGCCAGUCGAAGUGCUUUGAGGGACUUGCAUGAGUAGAGGCUUAUUGGCAAGGUCCCAGUGAGAUUAUUACUUAUACAAUCUAGUUUACUAAGUUGAGUAAGUUUAGAGAAAUUGAGCGCCGAGAUAUUCCCACUAAAACGGUUGAAUCCCAGAUUUAUUUCAACAAGGUUUGUGCAAUUCAUCAGAGAUGAGGGCAGAUGACCUUCGAGAUUGUUGUAUUGAAGGCGCAUGAGCUUUAAUUUGGAGAGCUUCCCAACAUUCUUACUGAUGGGUCCCACAAGCCCAUUGGUAGAUAAUGAAAUUUCUUGAAGUGCCUGAGCAUUGUAGAUAUCAGUAGGGAGGGAUCCUGAGAGAGUAUUGUCGCCAGCACGAAAGACCUCCAACUCGGAACAGUUUCCAAGUCCGGGAGGAAUUGCGCCACUGAAAUUAUUGUGGGAGAAAUCCAAGACUCUAAGCGAGGAUGAACGAAGACAGGUAGAGGAAGGUAUUUGACCUGUAAAAUGAUUAUUGCUGACAUUCAAACUGCUCAAAUUCCAGGCAUGCUGGAGGAAUGAAGAUGGAAUUGUUCUGUUGAAUUGAUUGCUUGAAAAAUCAACUAUUUGGAUGUAACUUGAUGAUAAAGACAUUGGUAUUUCUCCGGAGAAAAGGUUAUAGCUCAAAUCAAGAAUCUCAAGGCGACUCAAGGACAAGAACAUCCCGGCUUCAAGAGAGCCGGAAAGCAGAUUGUGGGAGAGAUUGAGGUGCGAAAGAAGCUUAAGGUUUCCAAGUGAUGAAGGAAAAGUACCUCCUGUGAGGCCCUUGGAUGGCAACCGCAAUUGGAUGAUCCAACCGUUCUGAUUACAUGUGUUGCCUUCCCACUGGCAACAAUCAACUGAAGCAGUCCAGUUCAAUGCCGGGGAAGACAGAGAGCUCGCAAAGGACUUGAGGGCGCUGCGUUCGGUUAGAUCACAUGCAUGUAUUGUGAAUAAAAUGGAAGAAAACAAGAGGAUGAGAAGGAAGCCAUGAGAGAAUGGAUGAUCCAUCUCAGGUUCAGAUUACUCACAGGUUUUCUUCUGCACGCGUAGAUAGGUAAGCAUAUGUGUCUGAAUCUCCAGAGUAUAUACACAUCUUCCGCAUGACUUCAAAGUCAUGACAAGAAAUUCCAUGUUGGUAAGACUCAUGACUUGAAAGUCGUUGAAACUUGAAAAAUUUUUCAAUCUCUUAGUCUUUGGUUUGACUUUAGGCUGUAGCUUUUUUAGAUUUAAUGGAAACACCAAAAUUAGAAAGGACGACUCUGCUUUUCUUUGAGGCUCUGUCACUGUUUGUUUCUGCAAAAAUUCAUCGAAUUUGAUGUCGUUUAAAAUUUCAGGUUUUUGUUUUAGGUGAAGAGAAGAGCAAGAUUCAAACUUUUUUUCACUGAGUGGAGGUAAGUACCCUACCACUUCAGUUGCCCCACAAUUGUUUAUUUUUGUUUUUUGAUUUGUUGGGAAAAAGGAAUAUUGUGAUGUGAAAUAACCCUAAAUUACGGGACUUCUAGGUGCAAAGACUGGUAAAUUUAUUGAAAAAUGUUAAGGUUUCACCAUACAACUAAUUUACAAUAUGAGGAGUAACCUAACUUACUUAAUGUGAGAUUCAGUCUCAAUACUUACAAUUUUCGCAUACAUCUUCCAUGUACUUAGUUGUAUUAUUACUUGCACUAAUUUGAAAGUGGGACCCGCAAAGUAUCGGGUUGUCCUCAACGGCAGUGCAUUAAGUCUCCAGUUGCCCUCAACGGCAGUGCAUUGAGGCCUUGGUCGAAGACUCCGAUAGUGACGCUAGGAUUCUGUCGGAUAGAUGAUUUCCUGAGAGGUCUGAAUCGUCUCUCCAAGUUGGUGAGGCUGGAAUCUCGUCUGGAAUGAUGCCAAAGAAGUUGCCGUCGCUAAGAUCCAUUACAUAUGUAGAAGAGAAAUAAGUGUAGAAAAUGUAGAUAGACUUCAAAGCAUCGGUUGCACAAGCGGGUCCAUACAAGGUUUUGGAUUAUUCCUUUCCGACUUUGAUGACUUUAGAGACAGGGCAUCAAAAGUAAUCAAAGUUCGAGAAACGGUUCAUCAGCUUAUUACUAAUCAAACAAAAAAUUGAUUACAUGUGCAAACCAAUAGUUGGGCCAAUCCGCGACUUUAGCGUUUUAGAUUUAUUGUUCCAAUUCGGGGUAAAGACAAUCUAGUGCCUCAACCGAGGUUUUUAACGUUUUGAUGCGGGGCUUGCUUCAAUUGAGAAGACAUGCUUCAACUAGGGUUUUCAAAUCUUGCAGUAGGAGAUAGUGAGCCCUGUUUUUCAAUUUAUAUUAAUUCAUACGUCCCUUCGUAUCGCUAUAGUUUUCACUAAAAAAAGUAGGUUUAAAAAGGUAGGUGGGUUUAGAUAUUUGUCCACAAAUUUGAAAUUUCUUUGCUUUCAUGUACUCAAUAUAUAGAAUGAAAAAUCAGUAGUAGUGAGUGAAAAUAGUUCACAUUAGAAGGUAUACGUACUUUUUGUUUUUUGGUAAAAAAGAAGGUUUUACAUACUUUGACAAUCAGUCCCACAAUACUUGUAAUCACUAGACAGGUUUUUUCAUGCAAUCAUGCAAUCAAGUUAAGGAAAUUCGUGCAUAAUGUAAAUAGGAGCCACUUAUAAUUUCGUUUUCAGUUUCAGUUUUCACUUUUAUUAAAAAAUGAAAAUUAAUAUAUAUUUGGUAACUGUUUUUAGUUUUCAAAAAAUGAAAAUUGACAGCUAAAUUUUUUUGAGUUUUCAAAAUGGGAGGUGAAUUGUCACUUAGUACUACGGUUUAAUGAUAUUUUUGUUCACUUGUAAGUGAGACGUUUUAGGUUUGAUUCUUGCCAAAAGUGAAUUUGGAUCACAAUAUUGCUACCACUAUACUGUAUUACUAAGUGGCUAUUUCUAGCUAUUAGAUUGAAUAAACCAAACAGAAUCCAUGACUAUAAUUAAACAGGAGUAUGUAAAUAGCUAAGUUUGUGUGCGAUUAUCAAUUUCCUUCAAAAUUUGGCCUUAUUUUUAACUUUCUUUUUUAUUUAACUUUUUUGAAAAUUGAAAUGAUUAUCAAACAAGUAAGAAAAAAGUUUUCCAAAUUAAGAAGAGAACUUAGAAAAUUUAACUAUUGGAUGACAACCACCAUUUCAACUGGAUUAGUCGAUUCAGAUUAGAAUUAAUUGUAAAAUCUUAUCAACAACUAUUUCAUUCAGCAUUCGUAAUUGUGCACUUUUGAUUUUUCAAUGAAUUUAUUUACCUAAACAAAAGCAAUUACCGUUAAAUGCAGUAGUACUAGUACUUAGAUGGCCUACCAUGUUGAUUUGUUUCACAAUUGUAUAUGUUUUUUUCUUGAUUUUAAAAGCCAAGCCACAAUAAUUAACUAGAAGAAAGUUUCCCAGCAAGAAUGUUAGAGGCAUUAUCUUCAGGACUGUAGAGUCACACAUAUUGAUUCUUUUCUAUGUUGAUAAUUUCUCACUGCAGAUUGAAUUCAAAGGUUUAUUAAAGUCUUGAAUCUUUGUCGAGAUCUUGGACACUUUUGGAACGCAUGUUGAGAGUAUGAAUUCCACAUGUGGGAGAGGCUAAGAGUAUGAAUUCCACAUCGGAAAAGAAUGGACUUUGCAUGUGCUUAUAAGUAAUUAAACUAUUACCAAUAUCGCCAAUUUAUGAUAGAACCUGAACUUACUCCGAUGCAUGUCACGUUAAUAAAUCACAAUACGAUUAUUGGAAAAGAUACAGAAACUCUGAAAAAUCUCCCAUGGAUAGGAAGGAGCUACACCACAGGAUGUUCUGUUUCUUCGCCCUAAAGAAGUACUGAAGUAGAGAUUUUGUACUUUGUCUAGGAAUUGGAACUGCGUAAAUCUGCGGAUCUUAAACAUGAAAGAGCCAUAAGCUCCGAAAAAUCCUGUGGUGAACCCAGGUGCGAAAGAGAAAUGAAACCAUGGAAUUGGAUUCCCAUUGUCCAAAUGACACGCCUCAACCCCGAUAUCCCCAAAUAUCAAGGAAAACACGUGCUGGCCGACACCCGAGGGUGACGAAGCCAUUUAAAACAUGCAUGCAAAUAAAGAAUAUGUGAUUAGAAUGAUUAUGCCAAAACAGGAACGUGUUCAGAGCAUACAACUACUAAAAAUAAUAUGGACUAAUUACUAGGAAAAGAUACGAACAAGGAAAUGAUACCUAUACUGAGGAGACUCGAGGAUAACUAAGCCGAAGUGUCCUGACGAUGGGAUCAUGUGCCUCGAUUGUAACUCCUAAGGGGGCGCAAAAAACAGAAAAGGUGAGUGAACCAAAGUUUAAUAUAAUAAUACUAAUAAUAGGAAAACCAUUUUCUUUCUGAACAUACUAACCCCUUGUUUUGAAAAUAUAUAUAAUACUACAGAUAGGUUUUAUAAAAACCCUAGCAUGCAAUGAAAAAUGUUCGUAAAAUCAAUAUAUGUAAUACCAUGCUCAAAAAUGCUGAAAAUGUUGCACGAAGGCAAAUCCAUAUAUGUCAUCAGUGAAGUACUCCACUAGGGGUAUCAUAGUUGCCCGAAGGCAGUACCUGUUCAUCACCUGAAUUUGAAGCUAAAUAACCUGUCCAUCACUCGAAGGUAAAGCUGUAUAACCUGUCCAUCACCCGAAGGUGAAAUUGAAUAAAAUAGCCUACAUCCACACCGACACUAGCUGUGGCUAGUGAAACUGUUUGACACCGCUUUCGGCGGUGAAGCUGGGGGUAUAUAAUAUAUCAUAUCUCACUCCUCCAUCAUUUGUGUUCUAUGGCCAUAGGCAAUACCCGUGGUGUGCGGAUGUGCCGUAUGAUAACCCACUAGAUAAGUACUAAAAACAUAUUUCAAAAUCUCGUAUCAUAAAUCCAAGACAAAUCAUGUUCACAAAUCUAUAAAAUAAAUCAUCUUCGUAACUUCAUAAUAUAAGUCAUAUUCGAGAUCAGUAGAAAUCCAUAUAUGCAAAUCCCAUAAUUCAUAACCGUUCAUAAAUGUAAUUUCAAUAAAAUCAUGAAUAUUCCGUAAAAGCAAUUAAACCAUGAAUUCGAUAUAAACCAUAAUUAUAUAAAUCCGGAAAACAUAAUAUAAAAUGUAUUAAAUGCAUGAAUUAUGAAAUGCAUGCUAGGCUACUAUUUUAUAAAAAUAUUUAAGUUAUGAAGGGGUCCACUCACUGAUUUUAUUGCCCGAGAACCGCUCAAACUAUCGAGGAUGUAAUCCUUUCCCGCUAACGCGCCUAAACACAAAUAGGGACCUUUUAGUAAAACUCUACUAAAACGUUAUAAUUUUGGAAAACAGAUGGCGGAUUCAGAUUCAGCACGUCAAGGAACCUCGAGUUUUCCUCCAAGCGCCGCCUUGCUUGGCGGUCAGCUGUCCCAACUUGCUGGAAAAUCCAACAACUCAAAAAAUUCUAAUAUUUUACAGGAAUAAAGAUCUCGAUGAGAGGAACAACCUUCAUACCUGUGACUAAGGCCAAUUUGGUCGGGAAAAGCCUCAAUUCCACUAAAACCUGUCGGACCCUGGAACUAGGUGGUUCUUGAUUUGACUCCAAACAAGUUUCAACGCCCCAACCAAUGCAUGGGCUUUGUUCCUAAGAUUGAGGAGAGUCUAUUAGUGGUGGUGGUUGGCUGAGUUUGCUUCAGGAAUGGUGGAUUGCCGCCAUGAGACCUGUCGCACCCACCGGUGUUAUUCUCCACGAAAUGAAACCUAAUCUCAUCGAGUUUAGGGUGAAAUUCAUAGCAAUGAUGUCGUGGUGAUGUUUACAGGUGAUGGUUGUCCGUAAAAAGCUAGGAAAACGCAGUGAAAAGCGUUGGAAAAGUCACUGAACACUGGGUCGCGACAUGGAAACGGGUCGAGAGUCCGAUUGGCUACCCCUCAACUCUCUUAUUUCCACUCAUUGCUCUCUCUUCCCAUUGGUCACUCACUUCUCUCUCUUCUUUCUGAUUGGGCGUCCCGCCCAUCAUUUUCUCUUCUUUCUGAUUGGGCAUCCCGCCCCUCAUUUAUCUUCUUUAUCUUUCAUCUCCACCAUUGUAACAUCCCACAUCGACCAACGGAGAAGGGGUGAUGUGCCUUAUAUGUACAUGCUCACCUCCUUUGGCAUGUGGCAUUUUGGGAACUCACUGACUUUGGAUUCCAUCGGAACUCAUAAGUUAAGCGAGUUCGGUCGAGAACAUUCCCACGAUGGGUGACCCACUACUAAGUGCAGUCAAGUAUGACCAUUACUAAAUUACAACACCCGAAGGUGAGUCCUACAUUUAUGUAGUCUGUCAGAAUGCCGUGGGAAUCCUCGUGAGCCUUCAACACUGCUAACUAGAACCUGGAGGGGCGCAAAACAAGAUUGAGUGGGUCAGUAAAACAAAGCUUUUCGAAAAUAUUUCAUUUAAUAACACUUCUAACCCCUUACUGUAAAAUCUGUAUACUUUCCCAGAAAAAUAGUAUAUAAAUAAUCAUAUAUCACAGCAAAACUCAAAUCACAAGUCUUAACACUUUUCAAGAAUAUGCCAUGCUAUGAUUCAAAACAUGAUAAGGAUGCAUCAAUAUAAUAGGUGAAAUAAUGAAUCAACCGGAGACCCUGCAGCUGUCAUGUACGGUUAAUUCUAUAGCUCAUUAUCCAACCUAACCAGAGUCACCACUAUGACCUAUACGACACAACUCUGCGCAUAAAUCGAAACUACCUGAAGUAGUCUGUACGAUAAGAAUGGUGUAAGAAUAUGCUCUAGUGCUUCUCUCAUCAACAUCUGUAUAAUAAUCUACAGUUACCUACAAGUCGGAACCACCUCUAAUGGUCUGUAUGACAUGUCAGAACCACCUCUAGUGAUUUGUAUGACAUGCACCUACUUGGAUCCAAGGUGAGCGUGUGGUGCGAGGUGAAUAAUAUAAGCACUAACACCAUGGGUGCAGGUUAUGAGCUCUCAACACAAUUCACAUCAUCAAUAAACCAUAUGAACAACAUAAAACUCACCGGAUACUCACUUGUGCGUCCACAGCACCAUUUCACAUAUAUGCAUCAAAUACUAAUUCAUAUAUUUCAUAUAAUAUGCAUGCAUGGCAUUUUAAAACAUACUUUCAUUUAUAUUCAAUUUCUGGGAAAAAUUCAGUAGUAGCUAGGUAUAAACAGAAAAUAACUACCCACUCACUAGUAAGUCGAAGGGUCGUAACCCCCAUGACGCCCUUGAAUGCGCUUGUCCUUGUGGGUCUCACCUAUAUGCGAAACAACUAUAAAAACGUUAUUUUAAAGCACAUAACCAACAAUACGUAAUAACUUCUCAUACGAUGCUCAAUUUGGGUAUAUGAAUAUACCACAGUGACCUACUCGAUGUCACGGACGUCGAGGUAUUUUUAGAAAAAAAUUUCAACAUCGCACGCGCCCCCACGCGCCGGAUAGGCACGGACCUACGUGCUCCCACGCGCGUCAUCUUCUUCCUCCAGUCGCCGGACUGGUUUCGCUGGCGACGAAAAAGUCGCCGGUUUCUGGGAAAUUUUCAAACUCCUUGUUCUUCGUCAAUUCUCAACCAUUUUUCACGCAAUUUAUACCAAAAUGAAGCCCUAAGCAUGUAGAAUCACGAUGUACUAAUUUAAGGCUAAAAAACACAUGAAAUCUCACCGGAGAAAAUCCAAGAAAAUCGGCCAACUUCGAACCCUACGAUCCCGACGUCCAAAACUUUCAAACUAAGUACUCCGAGCUUCCUUAGGACCUCACUAAGCUCCCUGUAGGCUUAGAAUUCCCUGAAAACCAACAUUUCACGUGUGCAUGAACAGUGGCAUUAAACUGGGUUACGGUUUCAAUGUGAUUUCGAGGGUUUCCAGUUCUAAAACUAGUACCAAACGAUUCAGAAGGUUGCAAGGAGGAAGGAACUCACCUUUUUGACGUCGAUCUGUGAAGUUUUGAGGGGUUUUGGUUCUCGUCCGUACGAGUUCGAAAGGGAGGGAGAGAGAGUGAACUGAGAGGGAGGAGAAAGAGAGCACGGGGUGAGUGUGUUUGUCCCGUGUGUGUGUGGUCCACCCAAAACCAAUCACAAUCCAAAUUUCUUAAGUCCCUAACCACACAAAAACAAAUGUAUACCAUUUAAUCCCCUUAAAUUUCCUAAGAACUUAGGAGAAUAUGCAAUUCAAAUAAACAUGUCACACAUACCUUAGUAACUGUUAAGGGCAAUUCUGUCAUUUCACAUCCACGAUAAAUGAAAUUUCGGGACGGGCUGUGACAAUUUUGUCCUUAACUUCAUUCGUUAAUAACUCCUUCAUUAUAACUUCAAAUUGCGUUCCGUUUGCAGCCACGCAUUCAUAGCGACGAGUACUACGAGGAUACGCCAAGAAAACGGAUCUUACGUGACACGACAAGGCGAUCAACAAAAGUCAAUGUAUUUGUUUCGAAGGGCAUUUUUUGUAAAUUCACGUAUUAAAAUUAUAAAAACCAUAAUUUUUGGGGACAGGUCAUUACACCAAAUCUUGGCUGUUCUUAUAUUUGCACCAAUGCCAUCACCGGUGCACCGCAAAGUUUCAAAUUCACCUCGAAGGCGGAUGAAUUAAACCGCAAAGUACUGUAUGAUACAUUAAAAAUGACAAGAUAUUAAGAACCGCCAAUGACGCUGGGGUUUCUCCGGACAGAAGAUUUAUGGAGAGGUCUAGUAUUGUGUCCAAGUUUUGAGGUCAGACAUAUAUUUGGUCUGGAAUGUAACCGGACAAGUUGUUAGCAUUAAAUUAAUCCAAGGCGUGGAGAAGCUGCAGUGGGCCAAUCUCAAUAAAUAUUUUGCCGGUAAAUCUAUGGUUCUGAAAGAAUAGCGCUUCGGCAAGUUCUUCGCAAUAUAGUUUUGAUGUAAAGAAUUUGUACUAACAAUGAUGAUCAUGGGGAGUUCAAGACAUGUGGUCUGUUGAGGUUAAGUGAUUUCAGAUACCAACAUUGGCAGCCUGCAAAGUUCCUUUGGAAAUCCCCCUGAAAUUCGGUCAAGAAGGGUCUCCAACCAACUAGGAAAUUUAAUUGACUGAAAGAGGAUUUUACAAAUUCUAAUUGCUGAAAAAAUCAAAAUCAAAUAACGAAGACAUAUAUAAAUAAGAUAUGACGACAUUAUGGGUCAAAUAUUUACGAUAUAUUGAAAAAAUUCCAAAAAGUGAUCAUUUUGACAAUUGAGAUUUUGUAUUUUUAUUGUUUCUAUCAAUUUUCCUAGAAGUAAAGCUACGAAAAAAGAAGCAUCAGAAAGAUGAAAUUAUAUUACGCACAAUUCUGUCGGGCAAUGUUUGUCGCACAAACAUCAUCAGUGCAGAGUUUACCGAUGAAUGGUACAAAGUUGUCGAGCAAAUUGUAUUUACAUGACGAAAUAAUUUCGUCGAGGAAAGGACGUUGACCUUUGCUCGACGAACAUUCUGAUUUUGCCCUACGAAUCGUAAACCCUAAAUUAUAAAAUAUACAUACCUUUGCACGACGAACAAUUCAACGAAACUUGUAUUAUUCGUCGCACAAUGGUUGCUAUAUUUACGCGCCAAGUUUUUUCCUUGGUGUGAAAACUUUACCCGAUGAAUGGAACUUUGCCAGUCGAACGCUGUUCGUCAAGCAAAAGCCUCUAAAGAACCAAAACGUUACUGUUUUUGGCAACCGAAUAUAUGAAUUCCAACGAUUAAAGUUCAGUGAAAGUGAAAGGGGCUUUAUGCCAUCAAAUUAUUAUAGGCAAAACUAUUAACAAACAAUAAUCGUAUUUCUUAAUUUGCCAUCGCUAGGAACUUAUCUUUAACAUUGCUCAGAAAUAGGAAAUAUCCAUGUCUCCAAGACCUAAUAAACACCAAAGAGCCACAGACUCCCCAAAAUCCGAAAAUAAAACCAAAAAUCACGGAAAAAUGAAACCACGGAACUCCUUUUUCAUCACUAGUGUGCACAUCUUUAGUGUCAUUACUUAUAUUCAUCUGUUGGCAUUUGUUUGGAAGUGGGGCACCACAAAGUCCUUGGUUCCCCUCGAAUGCAGUGGCAUUCAAGCCUUCGAUUUGAGUGCCGGAUGGUAUUAUUCCUUGAAGGUUGUUGUAAGCAACCGUAAAUGACGACAAGAAAUGGAGACUUGAUAUUGAUGCUGGGAUUUCUCCUGACAGAUGAUUUCUUGAGAGGUCGAAUCUUUCCAAACUUGUGAGGUUCGAUAUUUGGUUUGGAAUUUCUCCAGACAAGUUGUUGACGCUAAGAUCCAGUUCUCGAAGAAGUUGCAAUUGACCAAUCUCAAACGGUAUAUUUCCACUUAAACUGUUAUUCCUGAGGGAGAUUGCUCGUGGCAUGUUGGACAGAUACUUGUACUGCAAGGGAGUUACAGACGCAUUAACCCGUUGGUAGUAGAUGGGAAGCUCGAGAUAAUCAUAGCCUGUUUGAGUUGCAGCAUUUUGUGAUACCAAUGCUUGUAGUCUGCAAAGCUCCUUCGGAAAUUCUCCUGAAAUCAAGUUAUGAUUCAGUAUUAAAAGGAAAAGACUUGGUAGAGUCCCCAACCAUCCAGGUAUUGGGCCUGUGAGUCUGUUAAAAGACAGAUCCAAGACUUCGAGUUUCUUGAGCUUCAACAACCAUAAAGGUACUUGACCUGUCAACUGGCACCUAUAGAAGCUCGAAAUGGAUAGAUUUUGGAACCCAGAAGAUUCAUCCAUAAUAUCAACAUCUGGCAUUUCUUCACCGAGAAAAUUUUCUGAAAGAAGGAGUACCCUGAGACUUUUGCAACCCAUCAAUAUCUUCAUUGCACCAGUGGCAUUAGUCAAUCUGUUUUCAGAAAGCGAGAGGAAGGACAACGAUUUCAACGAGACAAUCUCAGGUUGUAUUUGUCCCUCAAGAUUGUUUUCAGCCAGUCGAAGUGCUUUGAGGGAUUUGCAUGAGUAAAGGCUUAUUGGCAAGAUACCAGUGAACAGAUUAGCAAAAAAAUCUAGUUUACUAAGUUGAGUAAGUUCAGAGAAAUCAAGCACGGAGA
This 43062-nucleotide long non-coding RNA is filed under the name Malus domestica (apple). RNAcentral's name for it is "long non-coding RNA (MDOM_LNC009844)". Lineage: Eukaryota; Viridiplantae; Streptophyta; Magnoliopsida; Rosales; Rosaceae. The record is from RNAcentral.